RNAcentral lists this long non-coding RNA (290 nucleotides) under Elaeis guineensis (African oil palm). Its description in RNAcentral is "long non-coding RNA (EGUI_LNC059889)". Lineage: Eukaryota; Viridiplantae; Streptophyta; Magnoliopsida; Arecales; Arecaceae. The record is from RNAcentral.
GGGCAGCCUUUUGGGUUUCACUUUCAAUAAUGGAGAUCACAAGAUAAGUAAGCUGUGAUAGACUGAAAUAAGUGUCUCAGAGUUGGAAUAUUCGAUGUGAUCAAAUUAUUUGAUUUUAUUAAAAAUAAGGAGGAGCCUUAUAUUUAUAAGAGGGUCAGUGGGAGGAUGAGAUUCUCUUGAUUGAAAAAAAUAUUUUUAUGCUGACUUCGGUUAAAAUAUAUUUAUCUAAGAAAUUCUUCAUAAAAAUCUUGAGAAGCAUCCUACAUCUUUGGGAUAAAGGUCGAUAGAAA